GGGGAUAGCCCAGCCAGGUCCAAGGCGCGCGGCCCGGACCCGCGAGACCAGAGGUUCGAAUCCUCUUCCGUUCCUCA
Molecule: transfer RNA, 77 nt
Filed under: Candidatus Dormiibacterota bacterium
Lineage: Bacteria; Bacillati; Candidatus Dormiibacterota
Description: tRNA-Pro
Rfam family: tRNA (bases 3-69)
About the family: Transfer RNA (tRNA) molecules are approximately 80 nucleotides in length. Their secondary structure includes four short double-helical elements and three loops (D, anti-codon, and T loops).
Source: RNAcentral